Molecule: long non-coding RNA, 562 nt
Filed under: Salmo salar (Atlantic salmon)
Lineage: Eukaryota; Metazoa; Chordata; Actinopteri; Salmoniformes; Salmonidae
Description: lncRNA (ENSSSAG00000096860.1)
Source: RNAcentral
UGGUGGUAGUAGUAGUAGUAGUAAUGAUGAUGGCAGUGAUAGCAGUUUAGUGAUGGUGGUGGUAGUAGUAGUAAUGAUGAUGGUAGUGAUACCAGUUUAGUGAUGGUGAUGGAAGUACUAGAAUGAUGAUGGUAGUGAAAGCAGUUUAUGGAGGUGGUAGUAGUAAUGAUGAUGGUAGUGAUAGAAGUUUAGUGAUGGUGGUGGUAGUAGUAGUAAUGAUGAUGGUAGUUAUGGCAGUUUAGUGAUGGUGGUGGUGGUAGUAGUAGAAUGAUAAUGGUAGUGAUAGCAGAUUAGUUAUAGUGGUGGUAGUAGUAGUAAUGAUGAAGGUAGUGACACCAGUUUAGUUAUGGUGGUGGUAGUAGUAGUAGAAUGAUGAUGGUAGUGAUAGCAGUUUAGUGAUGGUGGCAGUAGUAGUAGUAAUGAUAAUGGUAGUGAUAGCAGUUUAGUGAUUGUCGUGGUAGUAGUAGUAAUGAUGAUGGUAGUGAUAGCAUUUUAGUGGUGGUGGUGGUGGUAGUAGUAGUAAUGAUGAAGGUAGUGACACCAGUUUAGUUAUGGUGGUGGU